RNAcentral lists this ribosomal RNA (483 nucleotides) under uncultured bacterium. Its description in RNAcentral is "partial 16S ribosomal RNA". It matches the Rfam family "Bacterial small subunit ribosomal RNA", at positions 29 to 507 of the family's 1533-position model. The record is from RNAcentral.
GUGAACGCUGGCGGCAGGCCUAACACAUGCAAGUCGAGCGGCAGCGCGGGGGCAACCCUGGCGGCGAGCGGCGGACGGGUGAGGAAUUCGUCGGAAUCUGCCUUUUUGUGGGGGAUAACGUAGGGAAACUUACGCUAAUACCGCAUACGUCCUACGGGAGAAAGUGGGGGACCGCAAGGCCUCACACAGAAAGAUGAGCCGACGACCGAUUAGCUAGUUGGUGGGGUAAAGGCCCACCAAGGCGACGAUCGGUAGCUGGUCUGAGAGGAUGAUCAGCCACACUGGGACUGAGACACGGCCCAGACUCCUACGGGAGGCAGCAGUGGGGAAUAUUGGACAAUGGGCGCAAGCCUGAUCCAGCCAUGCCGCGUGUGUGAAGAAGGCCUUCGGGUUGUAAAGCACUUUUGUCCGGAAAGAAAUCCCUGGAGCUAAUACCUUCGGGGGAUGACGGUACCGGAAGAAUAAGCACCGGCUAACUUCGUG